This 65-nucleotide transfer RNA is filed under the name Bradyrhizobium sp. CB2312. RNAcentral's name for it is "tRNA-Ser". It matches the Rfam family "tRNA", at positions 11 to 71 of the family's 71-position model. Rfam says of the family: Transfer RNA (tRNA) molecules are approximately 80 nucleotides in length. Their secondary structure includes four short double-helical elements and three loops (D, anti-codon, and T loops). Lineage: Bacteria; Pseudomonadati; Pseudomonadota; Alphaproteobacteria; Hyphomicrobiales; Nitrobacteraceae. The record is from RNAcentral.
GCCAGUUUGGAGUGGCUGUUGCCCUCCGAAGGCAAAGGUCACACGUUCGAAUCGUGUCGGGGGCG